GCGAGAGAGAGAGAGAGAGAGAGAGAGAGAGAGGUUUAAACAGACUGGCGAGAGAGAGAGAGAGAGAGGUUUAAACAGACUGGCGAGAGAGAGAGAGAGGUUUAAACAGACUGGCGAGAGAGAGAGAGAGAGAGAGAGAGAGAGAGA
Long non-coding RNA from Oncorhynchus nerka (sockeye salmon), 147 nucleotides. RefSeq lists it as uncharacterized. The record is from RefSeq and is a predicted model, not a curated record. NCBI's taxonomy places the organism in Eukaryota, Metazoa, Chordata, Actinopteri, Salmoniformes, Salmonidae. The transcript is spliced from 2 exons.